Molecule: unclassified non-coding RNA, 213 nt
Filed under: Hevea brasiliensis (rubber tree)
Lineage: Eukaryota; Viridiplantae; Streptophyta; Magnoliopsida; Malpighiales; Euphorbiaceae
Source: RNAcentral
CAGAUCUUGUAACUUAAGUAGGAGGGGAAACAUCAAGUAAUUUUUAUGUCUAGAAUUAUCUUGCAAUGUUCUUAAUCUUACCUCUAUGCUUGCAUUUAAGUAAUUGUAUGAUACAAAAUCAUGUGGGUGGUACCAUCCUUUGUAGUUAUGGUAUUUGUAUUCCUUUGUAUGGUCCAAAACAUAUAUAGCUGAUUUGAGAGUCAUUUACUGCAG